Non-coding RNA from Albula glossodonta (roundjaw bonefish), 71 nucleotides. The record is from the annotation of a GenBank genome assembly. NCBI's taxonomy places the organism in Eukaryota, Metazoa, Chordata, Actinopteri, Albuliformes, Albulidae.
GAUACUUUACUUAAAUGGUUAGGCAGCUGGCUUUAUAAGUCAGAGGUUGCAGGUUCAAUUCCCAGGUAGGG